Molecule: ribosomal RNA, 301 nt
Filed under: uncultured bacterium
Lineage: Bacteria
Description: partial 16S ribosomal RNA
Rfam family: Bacterial small subunit ribosomal RNA
Source: RNAcentral
CAGUAGCCGCGGUAAAACGAAGGGGGCUAGCGUUGCUCGGAAUCACUGGGCGUAAAGGGUGCGUAGGCGGGUCUUUAAGUCAGGGGUGAAAUCCUGGAGCUCAACUCCAGAACUGCCUUUGAUACAGAAGAUCUUGAGUUCGGGAGAGGUGAGUGGAACUGCGAGUGUAGAGGUGAAAUUCGUAGAUAUUCGCAAGAACACCAAUGGCGAAGGCGGCUCACUGGCCCGAUACUGACGCUGAGGCACGAAAGCGUGGGGAGCAAACAGGAUUAGAUACCCAGUAGUCCCUGUCUCUUAUACA